UUCAAAAGACAUCGUAUUAAAAAAUGUAUUCUUUACUUAUAAAUUCAUGAUAACCUUCGAUUAGCCAACGUAGGAUUGUAUUCCUCACUUAUAAAUUCAUGAUAAUCCUUGAUUAACCAACGUAGGAUUUCUUCCCAACAAUCCUCAACAUAGCACAUCACGUAAAUCUCAGUCUAGUAGUAUAAGAUAUCAUCGUCAGCAUCCAAAGCUUUGAACAUGUGUAAUUCCAGGUUCAAUUCAAUAAAAGAAGAGAUUAAGCAAUCCUGAACCAUUUAUUAUGUUUAUAACGUCCAUAUCCAUAGUGCAGUGUUGUCAUUUCCCUAGCACAAGAAAGAAAAGUGGUCUAUAAUCGUUUCCAUAUGGUUUAAUGCUGCCUAUUCUUUGGUGAAUUAAUGGCCAAGGUACUCAAAGAAGCCACAGCCAUCCAUAGUGCACGGUCCAACGUAGCACUUACAGAGACGAUGGUCAUGAGGCAGUAGCUUUGGUGGUUGUUGAGAAGGGACAGCGAAAUUUCGAGAACGCGUAGUGGUUAAAGACCGCGUGGCGUGUGGAAAACCCUACACAAGCAAGACGGCUAGGAACACACGUCAAGAGAGAUGUUUCUCUAUGCUGCAUUCUCUCGCCAUUUCUCUCCAAUGGUACGUAUCUCGACUUUGAUCCUAAACUCUUAUGACUUUAUUUUUUAUUUCCUGAAACGUCUUGUAUCAAUGAAGAUGUAUUCUUUACUUAUAAAUUCAUUAUCAUCCUCUAAAUUAGCCAACGCGGACUCCUCCUCGUCCCUACUUAUUUUGUUUUGUUAGUACCCAUCCAUUUUGAUCUUCCUACUGUGAGGUG
Molecule: long non-coding RNA, 834 nt
Organism: Cucurbita maxima (winter squash)
Lineage: Eukaryota; Viridiplantae; Streptophyta; Magnoliopsida; Cucurbitales; Cucurbitaceae
Exons: 3
Source: RefSeq, a predicted model, not a curated record